This 1618-nucleotide ribosomal RNA is filed under the name Listeria monocytogenes. Its description in RNAcentral is "partial 23S ribosomal RNA". It matches the Rfam family "Bacterial large subunit ribosomal RNA", at positions 1 to 1608 of the family's 2925-position model. Lineage: Bacteria; Bacillati; Bacillota; Bacilli; Caryophanales; Listeriaceae. The record is from RNAcentral.
UUGGUUAAGUUAGAAAGGGCGCACGGUGGAUGCCUUGGCACUAGGAGCCGAAGAAGGACGGGACUAACACCGAUAUGCUUUGGGGAGCUGUACGUAAGCGUUGAUCCAGAGAUUUCCGAAUGGGGGAACCCACUAUCUUUAGUCGGAUAGUAUCCUUACGUGAAUACAUAGCGUGAGGAAGGCAGACCCAGGGAACUGAAACAUCUAAGUACCUGGAGGAAGAGAAAGAAAAAUCGAUUUCCUGAGUAGCGGCGAGCGAAACGGAAAGAGCCCAAACCAAGAAGCUUGCUUCUUGGGGUUGUAGGACACUCUAUACGGAGUUACAAAAGAAAGUUAUAAAUGAAGCGGUCUGGAAAGGCCCGCCAAAGACGGUAACAGCCCGGUAGUUGAAAUGGCUUUCCCUCCAGAGUGGAUCCUGAGUACGGCGGAACACGUGAAAUUCCGUCGGAAUCCGGGAGGACCAUCUCCCAAGGCUAAAUACUCCCUAGUGACCGAUAGUGAACCAGUACCGUGAGGGAAAGGUGAAAAGCACCCCGGAAGGGGAGUGAAACAGUUCCUGAAACCGUGUGCCUACAAGUAGUUAGAGCCCGUUAAUGGGUGAUAGCGUGCCUUUUGUAGAAUGAACCGGCGAGUUACGAUUUGUUGCAAGGUUAAGCGGAAAAAGCGGAGCCGUAGCGAAAGCGAGUCUGAAUAGGGCGCAUAAGUAACAGGUCGUAGACCCGAAACCAGGUGAUCUACCCAUGUCCAGGAUGAAGGUAAGGUAAUACUUACUGGAGGUCCGAACCCACGCACGUUGAAAAGUGCGGGGAUGAGGUGUGGGUAGCGGAGAAAUUCCAAUCGAACUUGGAGAUAGCUGGUUCUCUCCGAAAUAGCUUUAGGGCUAGCCUCGAGGUAAAGAGUCAUGGAGGUAGAGCACUGUUUGGACUAGGGGCCCUUCUCGGGUUACCGAAUUCAGAUAAACUCCGAAUGCCAUGUACUUAUACUCGGGAGUCAGACUGCGAGUGAUAAGAUCCGUAGUCGAAAGGGAAACAGCCCAGACCACCAGUUAAGGUCCCCAAAUAUAUGUUAAGUGGAAAAGGAUGUGGGGUUGCUUAGACAACCAGGAUGUUGGCUUAGAAGCAGCCACCAUUGAAAGAGUGCGUAAUAGCUCACUGGUCGAGUGACCCCGCGCCGAAAAUGUACCGGGGCUAAACAUAUUACCGAAACUGUGGAUGAACCUCUUUAGAGGUUCGUGGUAGGAGAGCGUUCUAAGGGCGGUGAAGUCAGACCGGAAGGACUGGUGGAGCGCUUAGAAGUGAGAAUGCCGGUAUGAGUAGCGAAAGAAGGGUGAGAAUCCCUUCCACCGAAUAUCUAAGGUUUCCUGAGGAAGGCUCGUCCGCUCAGGGUUAGUCGGGACCUAAGCCGAGGCCGAUAGGCGUAGGCGAUGGACAACAGGUAGAGAUUCCUGUACCAGUGCUAAUUGUUUAACCGAUGGGGUGACACAGAAGGAUAGGGAAUCGCACGAAUGGAAAUGUGCGUCCAAGCAGUGAGUGUGAGAAGUAGGCAAAUCCGCUUCUCGCGAAGCAUGAGCUGUGAUGGGGAAGGAAAUUAAGUACGGAAGUUCCUGAUUUCACGCUGU